Molecule: non-coding RNA, 53 nt
Filed under: unclassified sequences
Description: Mu-gpT-DE RNA
Rfam family: Mu-gpT-DE RNA
Source: Rfam by way of RNAcentral
CCUUGACAGUCACAUCCCGUGACUGACUCUAGCCACGACAAGGAGAUAACAUG